CCUACGGGAGGCUGCAGUGGGGAAUUUUGGGCAAUGGACGCAAGUCUGACCCAGCAACUCCGCGUGAGGGAAGAAGGCUUUCGGGUUGUAAACUACUUUUAAGGGGGACGAGCAGAAGACGGUACCCCUUGAAUAAGCCACGGCUAACUACGUGCCAGCAGCCGCGGUAAUACGUAGGUGGCAAGCGUUGUCCGGAUUUACUGGGGGUAAAGGGCGUGCAGCCGGAGAGGCAAGUCAGAUGUGAAAGCCACAGGCUCAACCUGUGAAAUGCAUUUGACACUGUUUGCCUUGAGUAUCGGAGAGGUCAUCGGAAUUCCUAGUGUAGCGGUGAAAUGCGUAGAUAUUAGGAAGAACACCAGUGGCGAAGGCGGAUGACUGGACGACAACUGACGGUGAGGCGCGAAAGCGUGGGGAGCAAACAGGAUUAGAUACCCGGGUAGUC
RNAcentral lists this ribosomal RNA (442 nucleotides) under uncultured bacterium. Its description in RNAcentral is "partial 16S ribosomal RNA". It matches the Rfam family "Bacterial small subunit ribosomal RNA", at positions 338 to 795 of the family's 1533-position model. The record is from RNAcentral.